AUUGAACGCUGGCGGCAGGCCUAACACAUGCAAGUCGAGCGGAUGAAGGGAGCUUGCUCCUGGAUUCAGCGGCGGACGGGUGAGUAAUGCCUAGGAAUCUGCCUGGUAGUGGGGGAUAACGUCCGGAAACGGGCGCUAAUACCGCAUACGUCCUGAGGGAGAAAGUGGGGGAUCUUCGGACCUCACGCUAUCAGAUGAGCCUAGGUCGCAUUAGCUAGUUGGUGGGGUAAAGGCCUACCAAGGCGACGAUCCGUAACUGGUCUGAGAGGAUGAUCAGUCACACUGGAACUGAGACACGGUCCAGACUCCUACGGGAGGCAGCAGUGGGGAAUAUUAGACAAUGGGCGAAAGCCUGAUCCAGCCAUGCCGCGUGUGUGAAGAAGGUCUUCGGAUUGUAAAGCACUUUAAGUUGGGAGGAAGGGCAGUAAGUUAAUACCUUGCUGUUUUGACGUUACCGGCAGAAUAAGCACCGGCUAACUUCGUG
This 484-nucleotide ribosomal RNA is filed under the name uncultured bacterium. Its description in RNAcentral is "partial 16S ribosomal RNA". It matches the Rfam family "Bacterial small subunit ribosomal RNA", at positions 30 to 507 of the family's 1533-position model. The record is from RNAcentral.